UUACGGUCAUAUCACACUGGAGCCACGAUUCUCGUAUGAUCACCGAAGUUAAGCAACAUUGAACCUGGUCAGUACCUAGACGGGUGAUUGAUUGGGAAUACCAGGUGUUGUAAG
This is a non-coding RNA of Acanthosepion pharaonis, 114 nucleotides long. NCBI's taxonomy places the organism in Eukaryota, Metazoa, Mollusca, Cephalopoda, Sepiida, Sepiidae. The record is from the annotation of a GenBank genome assembly.